UACAGAGGGGGCAAGCGUUGUUCGGAAUUACUGGGCGUAAAGGGCGCGUAGGCGGCCUGCUAAGUCGAACGUGAAAUCCCUGGGCUCAACCCAGGAACUGCGUCCGAUACUGGUUGGCUUGAAUUCGGGAGAGGGAUGUGGAAUUCCAGGUGUAGCGGUGAAAUUCGUAGAUAUCAAGCGGAACACCGGUGGCGAAGGCGGCCUUCUGGACAGUGACUGACGCUGAGACGCGAAAGCGUGGGGAGCAAACAGG
RNAcentral lists this ribosomal RNA (253 nucleotides) under uncultured bacterium. RNAcentral's name for it is "partial 16S ribosomal RNA". It matches the Rfam family "Bacterial small subunit ribosomal RNA", at positions 524 to 776 of the family's 1533-position model. The record is from RNAcentral.